AACUUUCAACAAUGGAUCUCUUGGUUCAGGCAUCGAUGAAGAACGCAGCGAAAUGCGAUAACUAGUGUGAAUUGCAGAAUUCCGUGAAUCAUCGAGUCUUUGAACGCACAUUGCGCCCCCUGGUAUUCCGGGGGGCAUGCCUGUCCGAGCGUCAUU
RNAcentral lists this ribosomal RNA (156 nucleotides) under Aspergillus flavus. RNAcentral describes it as "5.8S ribosomal RNA". It matches the Rfam family "5.8S ribosomal RNA". From Rfam's summary of the family: 5.8S ribosomal RNA (5.8S rRNA) is a component of the large subunit of the eukaryotic ribosome. It is transcribed by RNA polymerase I as part of the 45S precursor that also contains 18S and 28S rRNA. Functionally, it is thought that 5.8S rRNA may be involved in ribosome translocation. Lineage: Eukaryota; Fungi; Ascomycota; Eurotiomycetes; Eurotiales; Aspergillaceae. The record is from RNAcentral.